RNAcentral lists this ribosomal RNA (445 nucleotides) under uncultured bacterium. Its description in RNAcentral is "bacterial SSU rRNA". It matches the Rfam family "Bacterial small subunit ribosomal RNA", at positions 29 to 516 of the family's 1533-position model. The record is from RNAcentral.
AACGAACGCUGGCGGCAGGCCUAACACAUGCAAGUCGAGCGAACCCUUCGGGGUUAGCGGCGGACGGGUUAGUAACGCGUGGGAAUAUACCCUUUGGUACGGAAUAGCCUCGGGAAACUGAGAGUAAUACCGUAUGUGCCCUUCGGGGAAGGAUUAUCGCCAAAGGAUUAGCCCGCGUUGGAUUAGAUAGUUGGUGGGGUAAGUGGCCUACCAAGUCUACGAUCCAUAGCUGGUUUGAGAGGAUGAUCAGCAACACUGGGACUGAGACACGGCCCAGACUCCUACGGGAGGCAGCAGUGGGGGAAUCUUAGACAAUGGGCGCAAGCCUGAUCUAGCCAUGCCGCGUGGACGACGAAGGCCUUAGGGUUGUAAAGUCCUUUCAGAUGGGAAGGAUAAUAGACGGUACCAUCAGAAGAAGCCCCGGCUAACUACCGUGCCAGCAGCC